GGCAAGGUGGCCGAGCGGUCUAAGGCGCACGGGUCAGGUUCCAAUCUGAUCAUCUCACUCCGUGUCAUUAAUUUGGCGUGGGUUCGAAUCCCACCCUUGUCA
Molecule: non-coding RNA, 102 nt
Organism: Aspergillus bertholletiae
Lineage: Eukaryota; Fungi; Ascomycota; Eurotiomycetes; Eurotiales; Aspergillaceae
Source: the annotation of a GenBank genome assembly